UGAUUCUCCACCCUGCUCCUGCAGCGUUGAGGCUUGGUGAAGAAGUCACAGCGCUCAGAGGGAGGUUCAGCCUUUCUGCCUUGUGCCACUGGACAGAUGAUCCCUGCAUUUGACCCAAACUUGAUUGCUUGGUGCCAGAAGCUCCCUCAUUAACCCUCUUUGGACUCCUAUGAUCGUUUACGAGGCCUGGCCAAUGGAUCUCCUUUCUAACAGGUUC
Molecule: long non-coding RNA, 217 nt
Filed under: Cavia porcellus (domestic guinea pig)
Lineage: Eukaryota; Metazoa; Chordata; Mammalia; Rodentia; Caviidae
Description: lncRNA (ENSCPOG00000033912.1)
Source: RNAcentral